Molecule: non-coding RNA, 49 nt
Filed under: Trichobilharzia regenti
Lineage: Eukaryota; Metazoa; Platyhelminthes; Trematoda; Strigeidida; Schistosomatidae
Source: RNAcentral
GUCCAUCUGACGAGUCCCAAAUAGGACGAAAUGCGCAUCCUGACUGGAU